ACUUAAUUUGGAUGACAAAUCAUUCCACAAACAUUAUAAAUCCUCCAAGCAGUAAAUAUUUCAGGUUUCAAGAGCCAAUUAGAAAGUGCAUGAGAUCAUUCCACCCAAGACACAGAAGCAAGGAUGCCUACAAAUCAGACUCAUGUAUGCAAAGAAAGCACAACUGACAAGAUGAUGAAAAACAUGCCUGCCAUGUAAAUAUUUUCUGAUUACUAAAUGGGAACCUUGUUUCUACACCAACAAUAAACAGACAACCAGACCCACCUAUGACAGGUUUAACUCAUCCAAACUGGUUCAUGGAUAAGUUUGUUCAAGCAGCCUUCAUGAAGAAAAAUCAUUAAGAAAUAAGUAAAACUCCUUAAUUCCUAUCAAAAAUUUUCUUUUAAAA
Molecule: long non-coding RNA, 388 nt
Organism: Pipra filicauda (Wire-tailed manakin)
Lineage: Eukaryota; Metazoa; Chordata; Aves; Passeriformes; Pipridae
Exons: 2
Source: RefSeq, a predicted model, not a curated record